This 253-nucleotide ribosomal RNA is filed under the name uncultured bacterium. Its description in RNAcentral is "partial 16S ribosomal RNA". It matches the Rfam family "Bacterial small subunit ribosomal RNA", at positions 524 to 776 of the family's 1533-position model. The record is from RNAcentral.
UACGGAGGAUGCAAGCGUUACCCGGAAUGAUUGGGCGUAAAGGGUCCGCAGGUGGCAAUGUGUGUCUGCUGUCAAAGAAUGAGGCUUAACCUCAUCAAGGCAGUGGAAACUACAUAGCUAGAGUACGGUCGGGGUAGAAGGAAUUCCUGGUGUAGCGGUGAAAUGCGUAGAGAUCAGGAAGAACACCGGUGGCGAAAGCGUGCUGCUAGACCUGUACUGACACUGAGGGACGAAAGCUAGGGGAGCGAAUGGG